RNAcentral lists this ribosomal RNA (592 nucleotides) under uncultured euryarchaeote. RNAcentral describes it as "bacterial SSU rRNA". It matches the Rfam family "Archaeal small subunit ribosomal RNA", at positions 723 to 1315 of the family's 1478-position model. Lineage: Archaea; Methanobacteriati; Methanobacteriota. The record is from RNAcentral.
ACGGGAUUAGAUACCCCGGUAGUCCCAGCUGUAAAUAAUGCGGACUGUGGUGUUGCUUCAGAGUUAAUCUGCAGCAGUGCUGUAGCGUAGGUGUUAAGUCCGCCGCCUGGGGAGUACGGCCGCAAGGUUGAAACUUAAAGGAAUUGGCGGGGGAGCACCACAAGGGGUGGAUGCUACGGUUUAAUUGGAUACAACGCCGUGAACUUCACCAAGGGCGACGGCAGAAUGAAGGCCAGACUAAAGAUCUUGCCUAACAAGCCGAGAGGUGUUGCAUGGCCAUCGUCAGCUCGUGGCGUGAGUUGUCUGGUUAAGUCCAGCAACGAGCGAGACCCAUACCAUUAAUUGCUACUUUUACCUUUAGUAAGAGGCACCUUAAUGGGACUGCCCGCGUUAAGUGGGAGGAAGGAGUGGGCGACGGUAGGUCAGUAUGGCCCGAAUCCCUUGGGCUACACGCGGCAUUCAAUGGCUGGAACAAUGGGUUGCUACUCCGAAAGGAGGCGCUAAUCCCCUAAAUCCAGUCUUAGUUCGGAUUGAGGGUUGAAGCUCACCCUCAUGAAGCUGGAAUCCCUAGUAAUCGCGUGUCAUCAUCGCG